Myotis daubentonii (Daubenton's bat) is the source of this 772-nucleotide long non-coding RNA. RefSeq lists it as uncharacterized. NCBI's taxonomy places the organism in Eukaryota, Metazoa, Chordata, Mammalia, Chiroptera, Vespertilionidae. The record is from RefSeq and is a predicted model, not a curated record.
CCGCAGACGCGGCGUCGCGGCAGAUCUGUUCACUCGCGCGAGGAGGGAAAGCGUUCGGUUCCUGGAUCGCUGGGCCCCGGCGCCACGGCUCUCGCCCCUCCCCCACCGGCCCCAGCAGCAAGACCUCGUGGCGAGAAAGGGCCCGGCCUGCGGUUACAGCAGAGGGUUGCCCGAGAAGUACUGCAGCCGGUCUCUGCUGAGUUUUUUUUCCUUCAUCCUCCGGUUCUGAAACCAGAUCUUCACUUGCCGGUCGGUCAGGUUCAGCAUGCGGGACAGCUGCAGCCGCUUCUCCUUGUUGAUGUACACGUUGAAGAAGAACUCGCGCUCCAGCUCCCGGAUCUGGAAUUUCGAAUAAGGGCAGCGCUUCUUGCGGGACUGGGUGUCAAGACUACCUUUUCCCUUUGGAGAGACUCCUCAGAAGAGUAUCUGAAGUUUCUCAAAGGUCUGCCAGCCUUCUGAAUGGCUGUGGCCCAAGGGGUGGCCUCAGUGGUUCUGCCCUCCCUGGCCUCCCAUCCCUCUGGGCACCACAGGACACAUUGGUCAGCUGAAAAGCACUUUAUUGAAAGGUUCUGGACUGGGUCCAAGGGGCUGGAGCAACUGUCACGAGCAGAGAGCAACCUUGGAUCCAAGGAGGAGCUGUCAGAGCAUGAUUUGUUCUGGUAGGAGGGGAGGAAUUGAAGCCCCCGAAAGACUCGGCUCAUUGCACUCAGGGAGCAGCCAGGAAUGACCCAAAUUAUCUUUACACCCAAAUUUGGAUUAAAAUUUGUUUCUA